Molecule: microRNA, 22 nt
Filed under: Callorhinchus milii (elephant shark)
Lineage: Eukaryota; Metazoa; Chordata; Chondrichthyes; Chimaeriformes; Callorhinchidae
Description: Cmi-Novel-14_3p (mature (co-guide))
Source: RNAcentral
AUAGAUGAGAUUAGUUGCUUGC